GUUUGUUUUUCUUAAUUGAAGCUAGUUUUAGUUAAAGUUAUUUAUAUAUAAUGAAUCCUCAUGGGUUCAACACCAUCUUCUUGAAGGAUAAUUAUGAAACACAUACAAAUGCAAACAACAGUAUUAUUAUGUUGCUUUUAGAAACAAAUUUGCAAAAUGGUGAUGGUUUUGCCGCUUCACCAAAGAACCGUCGUCGCCAAUAGUGUUGAUUCUGCCACUCUUCAAUUUCCACAAAAUUCUAUCAAUUUCCCCUAUCACAUUCUGCAAAAUUCUAAAGAAAUUACAGGAAACUUGUGGUUACCUCCAAGGAACCGCCACCACCUGCUCCCCGCUACUCUUCUGGUUUUCGAUGAUUGCAGCCGGAGUUUUAUCUGCAUGUAAAUAGAUGGAUCUACAUAUAGCGAUGGCGAUGGCGGUGGCGGACCCGUAACUUAUGGAAGCAUCGAU
RNAcentral lists this long non-coding RNA (447 nucleotides) under Olea europaea subsp. europaea. Lineage: Eukaryota; Viridiplantae; Streptophyta; Magnoliopsida; Lamiales; Oleaceae. The record is from RNAcentral.